RNAcentral lists this transfer RNA (84 nucleotides) under Flavisolibacter longurius. RNAcentral's name for it is "Flavisolibacter sp. BT320 tRNA-Leu". It matches the Rfam family "tRNA". From Rfam's summary of the family: Transfer RNA (tRNA) molecules are approximately 80 nucleotides in length. Their secondary structure includes four short double-helical elements and three loops (D, anti-codon, and T loops). The record is from RNAcentral. Lineage: Bacteria; Pseudomonadati; Bacteroidota; Chitinophagia; Chitinophagales; Chitinophagaceae.
GCCCGGGUGGCGGAAUUGGUAGACGCAGCAGACUCAAAAUCUGCCGUCCGCAAGGAUGUACCGGUUCGACUCCGGUCCUGGGCA